This 564-nucleotide ribosomal RNA is filed under the name Trigonopterus sculptirostris. RNAcentral's name for it is "partial 16S ribosomal RNA". The record is from RNAcentral. Lineage: Eukaryota; Metazoa; Arthropoda; Insecta; Coleoptera; Curculionidae.
ACCGACCUGGCUCACACCGGUUUAAACUCAGAUCAUGUAAAAUUUUAAAGGUCGAACAGACCUAAUUAAUAUAGCUUCUACACCAAUAAUUUAUUUUAAUCCAACAUCGAGGUCGCAAUCUUUUUUUUCGAUUAGAACUCUAAAAAAAAUUACGCUGUUAUCCCUAAGGUAAUUUAAUCUUAUAAUCUAAAACUUAGGAUCAUACUAAUUCAUAAACAAAUGUUUUCAUAUAAAAAAAAGUUUAUUAAAUUUUUCCAUCACCCCAACUAAAUAUUUUUAUCUAUAAAAAAACUUUAUACCCUUUAAACUCUUCUAUAAAUUAAAAUAUUAAACUCUAUAGGGUCUUCUCGUCUUCUAUUUAAAUUUAAGCUUUUUAACUUAAAAAUAAAAUUCUAAUAAAAUUUUAUAGAGACAGUUUUUUCCUCAUCAAACCUUUCAUACAAGCUCUCAAUUAAAAAACUAAUGAUUAUGCUACCUUUGCACGGUUAAUAUACCGCGGCCGUUAAAAAUUCACUGGGCAGGUCAGACUUGAAAUUAUUAUCAACAAGCCAUGUUUUUAAUAAC